AGUGAACGCUGGCGGUAGGCCUAACACAUGCAAGUCGAACGGCAGCACAGUAAGAGCUUGCUCUUACGGGUGGCGAGUGGCGGACGGGUGAGGAAUACAUCGGAAUCUACUUUUUCGUGGGGGAUAACGUAGGGAAACUUACGCUAAUACCGCAUACGACCUACGGGUGAAAGCAGGGGAUCUUCGGACCUUGCGCGAUUGAAUGAGCCGAUGUCGGAUUAGCUAGUUGGCGGGGUAAAGGCCCACCAAGGCGACGAUCCGUAGCUGGUCUGAGAGGAUGAUCGGCCACACUGGAACUGAGACACGGUCCAGACUCCUACGGGAGGCAGCAGUGGGGAAUAUUGGACAAUGGGGGCAAGCCUGAUCCAGCCAUACCGCGUGGGUGGAGAAGGCGUUCGGGUUGUAAAGCCCUUUUGUUGGGAAAGAAAAGCAGCAGGUUAAUACCCCGCUGUUCUGACGGUACCCAAAGAAUAAGCACCGGCUAACUUCGUG
RNAcentral lists this ribosomal RNA (492 nucleotides) under uncultured bacterium. RNAcentral describes it as "partial 16S ribosomal RNA". It matches the Rfam family "Bacterial small subunit ribosomal RNA", at positions 29 to 507 of the family's 1533-position model. The record is from RNAcentral.